AAAAACAUUUCUUAUACCAUUAUUAUAAGUACAAUCUGCUCCAUGUAUAUAAAUAGCCGCAGAAUAUUAACUGUGCUAAGGUAGCAUAAUCAUUUACCUUUUAAUUAAAGGUCUGUAUGAACGAUUUUACAAUUAAACUACUUUUUUAUUAAAUUUUUCCCAAUUUAAACUAAACAUUAAAAUGUUUUUAUGAAAAAAAAAGACGAUAAGACCCUAUUGAACUUUACCUUUGUUUAGCUGGGGAAGCUAAUUAAAUAUAAUUUUAAUUAAAAUGUUAACAAUAAUUUCUAAUAAAAUUAUUUAAACAAGUUACCAUAGGGAUAACAGCGUAAUGUAAUUUUAAAGCUCAUAUUAAAAAUAAAGCUAACGGCCUCG
This 375-nucleotide ribosomal RNA is filed under the name Parasisis sp. 27 SL-2010. Its description in RNAcentral is "partial 16S ribosomal RNA". The record is from RNAcentral. Lineage: Eukaryota; Metazoa; Arthropoda; Arachnida; Araneae; Linyphiidae.